This 634-nucleotide long non-coding RNA is filed under the name Ictidomys tridecemlineatus (thirteen-lined ground squirrel). Its description in RNAcentral is "lncRNA (ENSSTOG00000031627.1)". Lineage: Eukaryota; Metazoa; Chordata; Mammalia; Rodentia; Sciuridae. The record is from RNAcentral.
CCCUCCCGCCCCGCGCAGAGGCCGGAGGGCCGGACUGGCUCGCAGAGGCCGCUUAUCAGACCCCGGGCUGGCGCCGGUUACGUAACUGGGCCGCUAAAGCUGUUUUACUUGUCGAUGGAACCCAAAUUAAAAGAGGAAAUUAUUCUCCUGAUGCUCAACUCGCCUAAUCCCCAUCUGUCGCUCCGCUGGUCCCCCGCGCUCGCAUCGAAAGGAAUCCAUCUUUCAAGCUUGCCCCCCCCCCCAGAUCUGCAGAGAGAUGUUAUGACACCAUUGUGCAUUCAGGAAUAGUAAAGAAAUUGGAAACAACACGUCUGUCAACCGGGGAGUCAUCAAAUUGAGGGGAACAUGGACAUUCUGGAAUUCUGCGUAGCUGAUUUUUAACAAUGGGGGUAGAUCAAGAUGUAGUGAUGUGGAUUAGAUUGUUUAGAAAAUUCUUUUUAAAAAAGCAAGCCUCCGAAAUAAAUAUACAGGAUACGGUUUUACUUGUGUUUUUUGUUUUAUAAAUCUGUAAAUGUGGAAAUGGAAGGAUACAUCGAACUGUUAACAUGUUAGUUCUAGGAUCCCCACCCCAGAAGGGAUCCCAAGGGGUGGGGGGUGAGGAGUGGUAAGGAGGGUAAAAGACAUCCGUUACUCU